This 1400-nucleotide long non-coding RNA is filed under the name Leguminivora glycinivorella. RNAcentral describes it as "uncharacterized LOC125240500". The record is from RNAcentral. Lineage: Eukaryota; Metazoa; Arthropoda; Insecta; Lepidoptera; Tortricidae.
UCGAAACGUUCCGUCUUGUGUCGUACAUAGACGCAGCCGGUAUAUACGCUUCGUUGUCUGGUGUUAUUGUCUGUUCUUUGUAUUCUUAGCUGUCACCGAUAUUUGUUAGGGAAAUUUCGUUUAGCUAUAAGUCGUCUUCCGUUAUAUCGCUUGGACGUCCAGCCCGCUGUCUGGUAUAGCUCGCUGUGCCGCCAAGAAAUAUAGACGAUGCGACGUUUUGUAGUAAUUUAAUAAAAAAAAAAGGUAUUCUUAUCUGGUUUAGUGCGUGGGUUCGAUUUUGAUGGUGUUUUUUAAUUAUCGAUUUUUGAUUUCGAGUUGUAGCUGUUAUAUUACCUAUAUUUCCUGUAGUUUGGAGCUGGGGACCAGCUCAAAAUUUUGCCUGCGUCAAAAUUUUCUCUGGGGAGGGGAGUACUGUAACAAUAUUUUUUCAAACCUCGUAGGUAUAUUUUUAUUUAGCUGAUAUUAUACUCAAGUAACUAUUGGUUUCGUACAGGCAGAGCCAUCUAUCGGCAGGAUUGUAUUGAUAACCCAGUUUGCUGUUAGCUAGAAUGACAAAAGAUGGCGUGUCGAUCGUCGUUAAUUUAUUUCCUUCCAAAAUCCCUUUUGAAUUUUCAUUUAUUAAAAAUAAAACUCAAUUUAUUAUUGUAUUGUUAGUUUUCGUUCCUUUUUGGAAAUAUUUUAUUACCCUCUUUAAGACAGAAGUUAAAGUUGUUGUCUAUAGGCGAAUGCAUCUCGUCACGUAUCUGUGGGCCGAGCUGUCAGCCGACACUUUGCAUAUUGGAAAGGAUGUAGACGGGUGGUUUUCAAAUUCUUCAGGGCCAAUGCGCCACAUUCUAAUUUUUAAAUCGCGAAUUAAUCGCAUAAUCAUGAUUUUAAUUUUAUAAAAUUACUGAGGACCCCUUCCAUUGACAUGAUUGCACGGAACCACAAGCCGGCUUCUUUUCUGGAAUGGGUCCUCAGAUUUGGAGGUUAACGUUCGAAGACAGAGCAGAGCUGAUGCUUCCCGAGCCUGGACCGGUGGACAGGAGGCUGUGGCGAUCGGUAUGGAAGAGCUCCCAUUCCGUGGCUGCAGCGGCCACCUCUCCUCAAUUCGGUUAGACGUCCCCCAAGGUCAGAGCGUUCCUCGUUUAUUUUUUAAAAAAGGCGCCCAACAUAAAUUAAUUUUUUAAUUAAUAAUUUACCUUUUACCCGGUCUUCCAGUACCAGAACUACUGACUCACCCCUAUGCUCUAAAUUUUAGGUAUUUGUUUUUUUUUUAAGUAAAUAGACUGAGCUAGCGAUAUAAUUUAUAAUAAGGGUAGUUUCAUUGCCUACCAGUUAGGCGUUACUAAGUAGUGUAUUAUUACUUUCGAAAUUAUUUUCAAAAAGUAAGUUAAUUAAAAAGUUAUUUUCUAUAUAAA